UACGAAGGGGGCUAGCGUUGUUCGGAUUUACUGGGCGUAAAGCGCACGUAGGCGGAUUGUUAAGUCAGGGGUGAAAUCCUGGAGCUCAACUCCAGAACUGCCUUUGAUACUGGCAAUCUUGAGUCCGGAAGAGGUGAGUGGAACUCCUAGUGUAGAGGUGGAAUUCGUAGAUAUUAGGAAGAAUACCAGUGGCGAAGGCGGCUCACUGGUCCGGUACUGACGCUGAGGUGCGAAAGCGUGGGGAGCAAACAGG
This 253-nucleotide ribosomal RNA is filed under the name uncultured bacterium. RNAcentral's name for it is "partial 16S ribosomal RNA". It matches the Rfam family "Bacterial small subunit ribosomal RNA", at positions 524 to 776 of the family's 1533-position model. The record is from RNAcentral.